Molecule: unclassified non-coding RNA, 1122 nt
Filed under: Hevea brasiliensis (rubber tree)
Lineage: Eukaryota; Viridiplantae; Streptophyta; Magnoliopsida; Malpighiales; Euphorbiaceae
Source: RNAcentral
GGAAAAUCUCUCGCACUCAAAAAGCGCCCUUUCGUAACAGCAUAAACAUCCCCAUUGCCGGCGGCGAACCGUUCUGAGAUCGGAGGUCAACGCGAUGGCCGAUCACGCCGGCGAGAACGACUCAUUUGUUGAUUCGGUAACGGACAAGGUCAACGAUAAGUUUCACAGCCACGAUUAUUCGUCGGAUUCUGAUGACGACAAGGGUAAAAAAUCGCCGGUUAACGCUGUUAAGACUAAGAUCUACCGUCUUUUCGGUAGAGAAAAGCCCGUCCACAAGGUUCUAGGCGGUGGAAAACCCGCUGACGUUUUCCUAUGGCGGGACAAGAAAGUUACAGCUGGCGUGCUUGGUUUUGCCACUGUUAUCUGGGCGCUUUUUGAGUUGCUUGAAUACCACUUGCUCACACUUGUUUGCCAUAUUCUAAUUGUUGCUGUAGCAGUACUUUUCCUGUGGUCCAAUGCAUCGGCGUUCAUCAACACGGCUCCACCUCACAUUCCAGAAGUUGUUCUACCUAAGGAUAUUGUCCUUAGUGUUGCAUCUGCAUUGAGGAUUGAAAUCAAUAGGGCCCUUGAGAUCCUACGGGAUAUUGCAUCUGGGAAAGACUUGAAGAAGUUCCUUGUUGUCAUUGUUGGCUUGUGGAUUGUUUCUAUAUUGGGGAAUAUCUGGAACUUCCUCACCUUGUUUUACAUAGUUUUUGUAUUACUGCAUACUGUCCCUGUGCUCUAUGAGAAGCAUGAGGACAAGGUUGAUGCUGUUGCUGAGAAAGCAGAGGCAGAGAUCAAGAAGCAUUAUGCUGUUUUUGACGCCAAUGUUCUUAGCAAAAUUCCAAGAGGUCCACUUAAAGGCAAAAAGCAAUAGAGACUAAUACGUGGUGUCACUAUGUUCAUAUUGGAGUUUUCCAGAUGUUGCGACUUCCUUUGGUAGAGCCCUUUAGUUACUGGCUUUGCUUUAUAACACGAUUUUUAUUUAAACGAGUAUGGCAUAUUGUGAGGUAGUUUUGAUUUCCACAUUUAGUUUUGGCUUUCUUUAUAGUUAAAUUGUGAAAGACUGCUGUAUGAUCUAUUGGCAGUCGUGGACUGCUUUGCCUUAUUCAAAUUGAGUUUUCAGCCAUGAUAAAUAAAGGA